AACGCUAGCUACAGGCUUAACACAUGCAAGUCGAGGGGAAACGAUAUUGGAAGCUUGCUUCCGAUAGGCGUCGACCGGCGCACGGGUGAGUAACGCGUAUCCAACCUGCCCAUCACUUGGGAAUAACCUUGCGAAAGUAAGACUAAUGCCCAAUGACAUUUAUAGAAGGCAUCCGAAAUGAAUUAAAGAUUUAUCGGUGAUGGAUGGGGAUGCGUCUGAUUAGCUUGUUGGCGGGGUAACGGCCCACCAAGGCGACGAUCAGUAGGGGUUCUGAGAGGAAGGUCCCCCACGUUGGAACUGAGACACGGUCCAAACUCCUACGGGAGGCAGCAGUGAGGAAUAUUGGUCAAUGGGCGAGAGCCUGAACCAGCCAAGUAGCGUGCAGGAAGACGGCCCUAUGGGUUGUAAACUGCUUUUAUAGGGGAAUAAAGUGAGCCACGUGUGGUUUUUUGCAUGUACCCUAUGAAUAAGGACCGGCUAAUUCCGUGCCAGCAGCCGCGGUAAUACGGAAGGUCCGGGCGUUAUCCGGAUUUAUUGGGUUUAAAGGGAGCGUAGGCCGGAGAUUAAGCGUGUUGUGAAAUGUAGACGCUCAACGUCUGCACUGCAGCGCGAACUGGUUUCCUUGAGUACGCAUAAAGUGGGCGGAGUUCGUGGUGUAGCGGUGAAAUGCUUAGAUAUCACGAAGAACUCCGAUUG
This 696-nucleotide ribosomal RNA is filed under the name uncultured bacterium. RNAcentral describes it as "bacterial SSU rRNA". It matches the Rfam family "Bacterial small subunit ribosomal RNA", at positions 32 to 715 of the family's 1533-position model. The record is from RNAcentral.